Molecule: long non-coding RNA, 97 nt
Organism: Etheostoma cragini (Arkansas darter)
Lineage: Eukaryota; Metazoa; Chordata; Actinopteri; Perciformes; Percidae
Exons: 3
Source: RefSeq, a predicted model, not a curated record
ACAUUCAGUCUGUUAAUAUUGGGUGUUUGCUUACUGGUGAAUGAAACAUGAAGUAAAACUGAGGUCCUUGCUCCGCUCUGCUCUAAAGCAGCGACAC